GCGGCUCUUCCCCGUCACACUGGGACCGGACGCAUUUCCAUGGCGUGGUCCCAGGAACCUCUCAGAGUGAACUGAAUUGGAUGCAAGAUCACGGACCGACUCUCAGGAGAUGAAGAUCCAAUCACUCUAUCAAAGAAUAUGAGCAUUUCCGAGGCUCUUGUAAGACAUCCAGCCUCCAGAACUGUGAGUACUAUGCUGAAGAGAGCCCUCAUCAGCACCUGACCAACCUGACCAUGCUGCACCCUCAUCUUAGACGUUCAGCCUCCAGAACUGUGAAUACUAUGCUGAAGAGAGCCCUCACCAGCACCUGACCAUGCUGCACCCUCAUCUCAGAUGUCCAGCCUCCAGAACUGUAAUCCAAGAGCCAAAUCAUGAAUGAACUACCAUUCACAACUGCCACAAAAGAAUAAAAUAUGUAGGAAUACAUCUAACAGGGGAAGUGAAGGACCUUUUCGAGAAGAACUACAAACCACUGCUCAGAGAAAUCUGGGAUGACACAAACAAGUGGGAAAGCAUUCCAUGCUCAUGGAUAGGAAGAAUCAAUAUCAUGAAAAUGGCCAUAUUGCCCAAAGCGAUUUAUAGAUUCAAUGCUGUUCCCAUUAAACUACUAUUGAGAUUCUUCAUAGAAUUAGAAAAAACUUUUAAAAUUCAUAUGGGGCUGGGUGCAGCGGCUCACGCUUGUAAUCCCAGCACUUUGGAAGGCCGAGUUGGGAGGAUCACUUGAGUUCAGGGGUUCAAGACCAGCCUGGCCAACAUGGUGAAACCCCCAUCUCCACUGAAAAUACAAAAAUUAGCUGGGCAUGAUGGUUGGCAUCUGUAAUCCCAGCUACUCGGGAGACUGAGACAUGAGAAUCACUUGAACCUGGGAGGUGGAGGUUGCAGUGAGCCAGGAGCACACCACUGCACUCCAGCCUGGGUGACAGAGAGUCAGUCUCAAAAAAAAAAAAAAAAAUCAUAUGGAACUGAAAAAGAGCCUGAAUAGCCAAGACAAUCCUAAGAAAACAAACAAACAAACAAACAAACAAACCAAAGCUGGAGGCCUCUCCAAAUUAUACCACAAGACUACAGUAACUAAAAAAGCAUGGUACUGGUACAAGAACAGACACAGAGACCAAUGGAACAGAAUAGGGAACCCAGAAAUAAAACUGCACACCUACAAUCAUCUGAUCUUCAGCCAAGUCAACAAUAACAAGCAAUGGAAAAAGGAUUCCCUAUUUAAUAAACCAUGCUGGGAGAACUGGCUAGUCAUAUGGAAAAAAUGGAAACUUCUUUACAUUAUGUGCAAAAAUCACCUCAAGAUGGAUUAAAGACUUAAAUGUAAAACCCAAAACUAUAAAAACCCCAGACAAAAAUCUAGGCAAUACCAUUCAGGACAUAGGCAUGGGCAAAGACUUCAUGACAAAGAUGUCAAAAGCAAUAGCAUUUGACCCAACGAUGCCAUUACUGGGUAUAUACCCAAAGGAAUACAAAUCAUUCUAUUAUAAAGAUACAUGCACAUGUAUGUUCACUGCAGCACUAUUCACAAUAGCAAAGACAUGGAAUCAACUUAAAUGCCCGUCAAUAAUAGAUGGGAUAAAGAAAAUGUGGUACAUAUACACCAUGGAAUACUAUGCAGACAUAAAAAGGAAUGAGAUCAUGUCGUUUGCAGGGACAUGGAUGGAGCUAGAAGCCAUUAUCCUCAGAAAACUAACACAGGAACAGAAAACCAAAUACCACAUGUUCUCACUUAUAAGUGGGAGCUGAAUGAUGAGAACACAUGGACACGUGGUGCGGGAACAAUACACCUGGGGCCUGUUGGAGGGUGGGGGCUGGGAGGAGGGAGAGCAUCAAGAAUAGCUAAUGAGGCCAGGCACAGUGGCUCACGCCUGUAAUCCUAGCAUUUUGGGAGGCUGAGGCGGGCAGAUCAUUUGAGGUCAGGAGUUUGAGACCAGCCUGGCCAAUAUGGUGAAACCCCGUCUCUAUUAAAAAUACAAAAAUAUUAGCCAGGCAUGGUGGCAAUGCCCGUAGUCCCUGCAACUUGGGAGGCUGAGGCAGGAGAAUCGUUUGAACCUGGGAGGUGGAGUUUGCAGUGAGCCAAGAUCGCGCCACUGCACUCCAGCCUGGGCGACAGAGUGAGGCUCCAUUAAAAAAAAAAAAAAAAAAAGAAGAGCAAAUGAAUGCUGGGCAUAAUAUCUAGAUGAUGGGAUGAUCUGUGCAGCAAACCACUAUGGCACAUGUUUACCUAUGUAACAAACCUGCACAUCCUCCACAUGUACCCCUGAACUUAAGAGUUGGAAAUCAAAAAGAAAAAAGGUAUUAACUCAAAAUAAAAACAGUGUGUACUAUUUUUCUAAUCAGCAAAUGUUAUUUUAUUUUUUACUAUUAUUUUUAGAGUCGAUAUCUUGCUCUGUCACACAGUCUGGAGUGCAGUGGCAUGAUUAGCUUUGAAUUCCUGUUCAAGUGAUCCUCCCACCUCAGUCUCCAGAGUAGCUAGGGCUACAGGCAGUGCUGCCACACCUGGAUAAUUUUUAAAUUUUUUAUAGAGUUGGGGUCUUGCUAUGUUGCCCAGGCUUGUCUCAGACUCCUGGCCUUAAGUGAUCCUCCUGCCUCUGUCUUCUGAGUCGCUGGAUUACAGGUAUGAGCCACCAUGCUCAGCAGAAAAUUAAAUUUUUUUUUAACAAGUCAUUAGUUCCUGGGAAUUCUAUUUCACUUCCAAAUCCACCUCAUUUUGCAGUGCCCUGUUCUUAGUAGUCCUGGUUUAGGAAGAGUCGUGUUUCACAUGAUCAAGGUAGCCAACACAAUGAAAGUUGAGUUCACAGAGUAUUUAUUUAUUUUGGUCCCUCACAGAGUAUCUAUUUAUUUUUGGUCCCUCACAGAGUAUUUGUUUAUUUUUGUUCCCUCAAAUAAUUCAGCACAAUUAAAUUCAGCAAAUAUUUAUUGAACACUUGGAGAUGAUGAUGGAAAAUUAUGUUCACAUGGUGCCAUUUGGUACAACGGAAAUGGCAUGAGAUUUGGACCAAACCAGAAUUGUCUUAAAUCCUGGCUUUGUUAGUUUUAGGUAUGUCAUCUUGAGCAGUUCACUUCACUUUUUGAGCCACAAUUUCUCUUCCUUACAUAAAGAUAUUUAUAAAUACCCCACAGGUUGUUAUAAUAAAGGUUGAAGAUGCUUGGCACAUAAGCAAAAAUUAUGAAUAAAUAUGUAUUAAAAUAUAAAAUAACUACAAAAUAAAAUAAAAAUAUUGUUUUUCUCACCACAUGUCAGUAUCUUUACACAUAUAAUCUAAUUUUAUCCUUACAGGAUUGCUAGCCUGGUGUG
This 3295-nucleotide long non-coding RNA is filed under the name Homo sapiens (human). Its description in RNAcentral is "HSALNT0291979". Lineage: Eukaryota; Metazoa; Chordata; Mammalia; Primates; Hominidae. The record is from RNAcentral.